AGAACUUCGGCUGGCGGCGUGCCUAACGCAUGCCCAUCGACGUGAAAGGGAAUUCCAAUCCCCCGGUAGGUUGACACGGGUGAGUAAGACAUGGGUGAUCUACCCUGGAGAUGGGGAUAUCCCUCCGAAAGGGGGGGCAAUACCGAAUAGAGUCGCUCACCGUGAAGGGGACCGGGGAAAGGGAGGCCUCUGAGAUACCUUCCGCUCCUGGAUGAGCCCAUGGCCCAUCAGCUAGUUGGUAGGGUAAAGGCCUACCAAGGCGACGACGGCGCUCCUCUGAGAGGACAACCAGCCACACUGGCACUGAGAGUGCGCCAGACUCCUACGGGAGGGGUAGUGAGGAAUAUUGCGCAAUGGGGGCAACCCUGACGCAGCAACUGAUGUGGGAAGAAGGCUUUCGGGUUGUAAACCACUUUUGCCCGGGACCUGGGGGCGUCAGAAUACGGUGACGAUGACGGUACCGGGAGAAUAAGCCACGGCUAACUAAUGCCA
RNAcentral lists this ribosomal RNA (492 nucleotides) under uncultured bacterium. RNAcentral's name for it is "bacterial SSU rRNA". It matches the Rfam family "Bacterial small subunit ribosomal RNA", at positions 26 to 510 of the family's 1533-position model. The record is from RNAcentral.